This 253-nucleotide ribosomal RNA is filed under the name uncultured bacterium. RNAcentral's name for it is "partial 16S ribosomal RNA". It matches the Rfam family "Bacterial small subunit ribosomal RNA", at positions 524 to 776 of the family's 1533-position model. The record is from RNAcentral.
UACGGAGGGUGCAAGCGUUAUCCGGAAUCACUGGGUUUAAAGGGUGCGUAGGCGGCUGUAUAAGUCAGUGGUGAAAGGCUGUGGCUUAACCAUGGGAUUGCCAUUGAUACUGUACGGCUUGAAUUGGGUUGAGGUUGGCGGAAUGUGACAUGUAGCGGUGAAAUGCUUAGAUAUGUCAUGGAACAUCGAUUGCGAAGGCAGCUGACUGGACCUUGAUUGACGCUGAGGCACGAAAGCGUGGGGAGCGAACAGG